RNAcentral lists this ribosomal RNA (253 nucleotides) under uncultured bacterium. Its description in RNAcentral is "partial 16S ribosomal RNA". It matches the Rfam family "Bacterial small subunit ribosomal RNA", at positions 524 to 776 of the family's 1533-position model. The record is from RNAcentral.
UACGGGGGGAGCAAACGUUGUUCGGAAUCACUGGGCGUAAAGGGCGUGUAGGCGGCUGGAUAAGUGGGAUGUUAAAUCCCCCGGCUCAACUCGGGAACUGCGUCCGAUACUGGCGGGCUUGAAUCCGGGAGAGGGAUGCGGAAUUCCAGGUGUAGCGGUGAAAUGCGUAGAUAUCUGGAGGAACACCGGUGGCGAAGGCGGCAUCCUGGACCGGCAUUGACGCUGAGGCGCGAAAGCUAGGGGAGCAAACGGG